UCCGCUAGUUUUUAGACCUCGUCUUUUGCUUUGCGGUGGUGAAGGCGUUGGGUUGGAUCACCUUGGUCCUGCAAUUUUGCAUGAAUUGGAGAAAUUCCCUGUUCAUUCUUUGGGACUCCCGUCACUGCUUUCUGAUCCUAGUGCAAAGACACCUGAGGAAGCGUUGGUACAUAUAUUUGGUGAAGCAAGAAGGACUACUCCAUCAAUACUCUACCUACCUCAAUUUCAUUGUUGGUGGGAGACGGCAGAUGAGCAAUUGAGAGCUGUUUUAUUGACUCUUUUAGAGGAGCUACCUUCUGACUUGCCCAUAUUACUGCUGGGAACAUCUUUAGUUUCACUUGCUGAAGUUGAUGAGAAAGCUUCUAUGAUUUUUCCUGAUCGCGUA
Cucurbita pepo subsp. pepo (vegetable marrow) is the source of this 385-nucleotide non-coding RNA. The record is from RefSeq and is a predicted model, not a curated record. Lineage: Eukaryota; Viridiplantae; Streptophyta; Magnoliopsida; Cucurbitales; Cucurbitaceae.